This 485-nucleotide ribosomal RNA is filed under the name uncultured bacterium. RNAcentral's name for it is "bacterial SSU rRNA". It matches the Rfam family "Bacterial small subunit ribosomal RNA", at positions 8 to 526 of the family's 1533-position model. The record is from RNAcentral.
AGAGUUUGAUCCUGGCUCAGGAUGAACGCUGGCGGCGUGCUUAACACAUGCAAGUCGAACGGUCGCAAGACAGUGGCGGACGGGUGAGGAACACGUAGCUCAUUUGCCCUCAAGUCUGGGAUAACGUCUCGAAAGGGAUGCUAAUACCGGAUAAGCUCACGAGGAGUAGGUACUUGUGAGAAAAGGUUUACUGCUUGAGGAGAAGGCUGCGGCCUAUCAGGUAGUUGGUGAGGUAACGGCUCACCAAGCCGACGACGGGUAAGGGGUCUGAGAGGAUGACCCCUCACACUGGGACUGAGACACGGCCCAGACUCCUACGGGAGGCAGCAGUGAGGGAUAUUGCGCAAUGGGGGAAACCCUGACGCAGCGACGCCGCGUGGGUGAUGAAGGUCUUCGGAUCGUAAAGCCCUUUUCUGCAUGACGAGCAAGGACGGUAGUGCAGGAAUAAGCCUCGGCUAACUACGUGCCAGCAGCCGCGGUAAUUC